CAUCGUCAGAUGACGCUGGCGGCAGGCUAACACAUGCAAGUCGAGCGUAGAGAGAAGCUUGUUCUCUGAGAGCGGCGGACGGUGAGUAAGCCUAGGAAUCUGCCUGGUAGUGGGGAUAACUUCGGAAACGGACGCUAAUACCGCAUCGUCCUAGGGAGAAAGCAGGGACCUUCGGGCCUUGCGCUAUCAGAUGAGCCUAGGUCGGAUUAGCUAGUUGGUGAGGUAAUGGCUCACCAAGGCGACGAUCCGUAACUGGUCUGAGAGGAUGAUCAGUCACACUGGAACUGAGACACGGUCCAGACUCCUACGGGAGGCAGCAGUGGGGAAUAUUGGACAAUGGGCGAAAGCCUGAUCCAGCCAUGCCGCGUGUGUGAAGAAGGUCUUCGGAUUGUAAAGCACUUUAAGUUGGGAGGAAGGGUUGUAGAUUAAUACUCUGCAAUUUUGACGUUACCGACAGAAUAAGCACCGGCUAACUCUGUGCCAGCAGCCGCGGUAAUACAGAGGGUGCAAGCGUUUAUUGGAAUUACUGGGGGUAAAGCGCGCGUAGGUGGUUUGUUAAGUUGGAUGUGAAAUCCCCGGGCUCAACCUGGGAACUGCAUUCAAAACUGACUGACUAGAGUAUGGUAGAGGGUGGUGGAAUUUCCUGUGUAGCGGUGAAAUGGGUAGAUAUAGGAAGGAACACCAGUGGGGAAGGGGACCACCUGGACUAAUACUGACAGUGAGGUGCGAAAGCGUGGGGAGCAAACAGGAUUAGAUACCCUGGUAGUCCACGCCGUAAACGAUGUCAACUAGCCGUUGGAAGCCUUGAGCUUUUAGUGGCGCAGCUAACGCAUUAAGUGACCGCUGGAGACCGACUGU
This 858-nucleotide ribosomal RNA is filed under the name Pseudomonas azotoformans. RNAcentral's name for it is "bacterial SSU rRNA". It matches the Rfam family "Bacterial small subunit ribosomal RNA", at positions 19 to 873 of the family's 1533-position model. The record is from RNAcentral. Lineage: Bacteria; Pseudomonadati; Pseudomonadota; Gammaproteobacteria; Pseudomonadales; Pseudomonadaceae.